GGGGUUAUGGCUCAGCAGUAGAGCACUCACCUCACAUGUGUGGGUCCCUGGGUUCGAUCCUCAGUACCA
This 69-nucleotide transfer RNA is filed under the name Ictidomys tridecemlineatus (thirteen-lined ground squirrel). Its description in RNAcentral is "Spermophilus tridecemlineatus (thirteen-lined ground squirrel) tRNA". It matches the Rfam family "tRNA". Rfam says of the family: Transfer RNA (tRNA) molecules are approximately 80 nucleotides in length. Their secondary structure includes four short double-helical elements and three loops (D, anti-codon, and T loops). Lineage: Eukaryota; Metazoa; Chordata; Mammalia; Rodentia; Sciuridae. The record is from Rfam by way of RNAcentral.